GUCCCCGUAGCUCAGCAGGAUAGAGCAUUCGCCUCCUAAGCGAAGGGUCAGCCGUUCGAGUCGGCUCGGGGACGCCA
Molecule: transfer RNA, 77 nt
Filed under: Clostridiales bacterium
Lineage: Bacteria; Bacillati; Bacillota; Clostridia; Eubacteriales
Also listed under: 1 other name
Description: tRNA-Arg
Rfam family: tRNA
About the family: Transfer RNA (tRNA) molecules are approximately 80 nucleotides in length. Their secondary structure includes four short double-helical elements and three loops (D, anti-codon, and T loops).
Source: RNAcentral